Cercocebus atys (sooty mangabey) is the source of this 11748-nucleotide long non-coding RNA. RefSeq lists it as uncharacterized. The record is from RefSeq and is a predicted model, not a curated record. The transcript is spliced from 3 exons. Lineage: Eukaryota; Metazoa; Chordata; Mammalia; Primates; Cercopithecidae.
GCUGAGAUGACAGGCCACCAUUUGAGUGUCUUCUUUACUUUUUGUUUCCUUCUUUGUAAUGUGAAGAAAAUUAUACACUCCUUGUAGGGUUGAGGUGACGAUUAGAGGCCAUCCUUACCAAAAGUCCAAGCUGGUGCCUGGUUUUGGGUGCAGUAAGCAGCAGCCACUCUGACUGUGUCCUUGCUUCCUGGGUGGUGAGAUUUGCAGUGUGGAGAGGAAGAGAAGGGAAGCAGACAAUCUAGCAAUCUGUGGAAAUUCUUUUUGAACGCUUUGAUAAGCUCAGGCCCAAGGGCUGUCUCAUUUGACUUCCUCUUACUCACCUUCCUGUCUGCUUGGCAGUCACCAGGCUGGAAGCCAUGCUGUGGCCCCUCACUGGUGGGUCAGUAUGUUUUAUUUCCCCUCAGUCCUCUCUAAUGAAAAGCACUCGCAUCCAGUAAAUCUUUCCUUUGCUCUUAUUAAAGCACUUGAUGUUGGUUAUUGAGGUCUGUUCCAAGCUAGGUAAGAAUCAAUAAGGCGAUCCACUUAAUCACUUCAGCAAUCAACAAGCUGUUUUCUUAGCUUGCACUCUGGCCACUGCCUGCAGAAAUCCGGGGGCUUAUCGGGCCCUUGUAACCCAGGGAGCUGCCUGGAGACUUUCCCUUUCAUUCCCUCCUCCCUGUCAACCUCAUGAAGUCCCAAGUGUUCUGAAACAGCCCUGCCCUCUGCUUGGUCUCAGGGCUGUGUUGGGUAAGAUAAUGACAAGCCUGUGCUUCUAUUUGUACUCUUGCCAUUAAGGGCUCCAACUAUGUCUGGGCUGUGGGCAGUUGAUACCUGAUUACAGAUAGUCUCGUUUUGGCCAUUGUGGCUUUGCACACCUGGGCAGGGCAAUUGCUUAAAUGAGGGUGACACUAUUCCUACUGGGCCUAGCCUUUCUCCCACCUCAGUAUUCAAAUUUCACUAUCACCGGGAAACUCCCAGGAAAAGGAUCAGUCGUUUGCUCCUUGUAAUGUUUUGAACAUAGGUUUACUCUAAGGCAUGCUGUACCAUAUUCAAGCUCUGUCCUGUUUCCCAGACAGCCUGUGAUCUCCUUAAAGACUGGAGCUGUGUCUUAGUCAUCUCUGCAUUAUCAAGACCACCCCAAUGCCUGACCUGUAGGAGCUCAGUUGCACUUAUUGAAAAGAAAGAAGGAAGGAAGGACAAUAAAAAGGAAAGAAUGAAUUUUUUUUUAUAGUCCUGGAAAACAGCAUGGUUCCAAGUCCUGGCAUUGCCAAUAAUUGCUGGGUGACCUUAGGCAAGAUAAAGAAUUUGUUUCAGACUCAAUUUCCUUAUCUGUCAGUGAAUUAGAUAAUCCCCCAAAUUCUUUCCAGCUCAAACAUUUUGUAAUCUUAUGCCUGUAAAUCUAUGGUUACCAAUUCUUUCAUACCCAAACCCACUUUGUAUAACAAGUAUUUUGAAAUCUCCUUUUGCCAACAUGAAAUGAAAUGAUUCAAUAUUACAACCUACCUUCAUCUAAUUAGGAAAAUAAAUACUCUAACUGUAAUUUAAAGGGGAAAUAAAAGGAAAACAAUUUAUGAUAAAAUAAUACAUAUUCCUUUAUGUAAAAGUAUGGCUAGUACCAGAAGAUAUGAUGAAGGGGUCAGAACUUCACACUACUCUGCUGAAUCACUUUGAAUGAUGUGACAGUUACAAAUGCAGAGUGAUGCAGGUAGGUUACUUUGGUGCCUCAUAUGCCACAAGAAGUACUGAUGUCGUUACAGUUCUAAACUAGCAGCACACAACAUUUCCAGUAUUGACAUGGUAGUCAUAUUCCUGGAAAAUUCAAGAUAUGUAAAGCAAAGGUAGAUUUUAAGCUCAGAUAAUUUAAAAAACAGGCUUUUCAGCCAUAUAAAUAUCUGUGGAACAUUCAAAAGCUCUCUGAGAAGCAGAAAGAUUCUUCAUAGUUCAGAACUGUCCAUGCCAUUGAAGAUCUCUGGAAUCCUUGGCUCCUGCCCACUAUGAACCAGCAGAACCUCCUUGUACCAACCAAGAACCUGCCCACCUACCAAAUAUUAAAAACGCUAUCCACAGGGUGGUAUCAUUUCUUCCAGGAGCUAGUGCUCUAAGCUUUAAAAUGUUCUGAGCAGAGCAGGCUUCAAGGAUGAACAAUCUGUGUAGUCAUCAGGGCUCACUGCUCUUUGAAGGAUCAUGUGCUUGAAUACUCUCUUGUUACUCUCCUGAAUUUCUUAAUGAUUUUUGAAUAAGGGUCCUUAUGUGUUCACUUUACAGCAGGCCCUGCAAAUCAUGUAGCCAGUCCUGGCUAUGUAUUAUGACAGGAUUGCUGUAUUCCUAAGCAUCUGAGUGAUGUUUAGUGUUGAAACAACUAGUUUCCUUUGCCUAGUAGUGCUUUCUUUUAAUUAGCUAGGAUAUCCUUAAUUACUUUAAUUAAUUAAUUUGUUCAUUUAUUAAACUAAUACACACUGAGUUUCUAUUAUACACCAGGUAGACUCUGGAGUCAGAAGACCUGAACCGCGAUCCUAAAAGAGCUUACAGAUUCUUGGAUUCUCUGACUUUAAGAUGGAAUUAUUAAUAAUAACUCUCUUUAAUUAUUGUACAGAAUAAGUGUGAAUUUUAAAAGAUAGAGCAUUUGGAAGUAAAUUGUACACUAUGACAUAAACGUCAGUUGCUAAUUUUAUUAUUGUGCUACUCUUUUUAUCUUUGAAGUAAAGUUUUCUACUUUUCUUCAUUUAGAUAUCAUGGAACAUGAUGCUCUUGGCAGGACACCAAAUAUCAACUUUCCUACAAAAAUCAGAAAACAGAGUAAUUGGGUUCAGCAAAAUCUUUCAAUUUGGGUGUUACUAGUGUAGACUUCAUGAUAACUCAAAAUAAUUUUAUCGAAUUUAAAAAAAGAUAUGUUAAAUUGAGUUUGUCACAUAAUCAUGGAAGUUUUGGGCUGAUAUAGACUUCAAAAAAUUAUCCAGUGCUUAAAUCUGCUAUAAUAUCCCUACUGAGUAUUUCCAGAACCAGCUUUGGUUAAUUCCUGUGAUGUGUCCUUUGGAAGCAUGUGUGCCCUGUGCUAGGAACAUUUAAAAAAGCAAUUCAGUACGUUUGUAUGUGAAUUACAAAUUAUUCUCAUCCACUCAUUAGAGCAGGGCAGGGCAGCAUGCCUUCUACUAGGCAAUACUUACUUAAUUUAGUUGUAUUUUAUGGUAACAAAAUUUCUCUGAAAAGAUAUACUUUAUAAUUCACACUUUUCACAAAUUCAGCUCACCCCAAACACCUACUUUUUUAAUAGUAAAGUAUUACCAUACUAUGAAGAAAUUUAAAAUGUAGAGAGUGACUUUCACAAGUAUUAGAAUCUACUGGGAUAUAGUUAGUUGGUUCGGAGAUUAUUAAGCAGCAACAAUUUGUGCUUGGGAGGGAGAUGAAAGCUGGUCUUGCCUUAAUUUGUUAGAGUCAUGGGCUGAGUCACAGUAAGGUCCAGGCACAGGGUCAUGUCAAGGCAUGAUCCUAACUCUGUUAUCUACAGGAAGAGAAAGGGCCAUUAUACUUUGAGACUGGGAUUCUUUCCUUUGUCGUAGCUUUAUGAAAAUAUAAUUGAGAAGACUAGCAUUUUCGUAUGGACUGCUGGCUGUAUAUGGUUUGUACGUGAGAAUUUGAAAAUUGAUAUCUUUUGAUAACAUUAAGAAAAUGACAGAUUUUAUUUAUUUAGAUAGUUUUAUAUGCAAACCUACUUAUAUACAUAUAGAUGUGUGAGCGAACACAUGUGUGUUUGUAACAGGAGGCAGGAAGAGGUGAAACAGUUAUGCCCUUUGAUAAUACCAGGUGUGAUGGGCUAUUGAAUGGUUUCCUAUUGGAAGGACUCAAGCACCCUGCAAGCAGAAAGUGACUCUCCCUGUCCAAAGGGGUGUGAAAUUUCUCCCACUGCUGAACCUCACAGGAUAGAGAAACGAUACAGCUCUCUGAAAGGGUGGAGUGGCAGGGGGUUCAGGUUAGGGAACAGGGAGCUGCAGGAAAAUGCUGAAGGUGUUUUCAGAGUAUGUUGGUGGGAAUUAGAGUUUUCCCUAGAAAUAAAUUAUUUAACGCUUGGAACCUAGUGUUUAAAGACUGAGUUCUAAGAAAGUGUGCAGGCAAAGACUAAGGGCUGUGAAGCACAAAAUGAGCAUUCCUAUGUGGAAAGCUUGGGACAGAAGACUCGGGGGCCACAGGAAACACAGAGAGACUGUUCUGUAGCCUCGUUAGUUGCACGAUUCUUCAACAAACCCGCACCAGACUCACCGCGGAACGCAUUAAAAAAAUGCUAAUUCCUCAGCCCCACUUCAGGUCUGGUGAUUUUGGAAUAUGUGGUUUUAAGCAAGCUUCCUGGAUGAUUGUUAGUCACACUGAAGGCUGAGAAUGAGGAGGAAUGGAAUAAUCAUUGGUGUAAUGCCUGUCUGCUCUCUAUGUCUUCUAUGAGAACAAGGACCGGGUCUUGUUCUGCAAUGUUUCUCCGGCACCUCAUUCAGCCCAUCGACCAUCAAAACCAUUCAAUAAAUAGUUUUUGAAUAAUUAGAUGAAUGAAUGAAUAAAAGGAACUAUAAACUGAUAUGAUAGCCCACUCCAUACCUUUUAUAAUUCUUUGUCUUUUGAUAGUAAAGGCCACAGGUUCUAGUUCAUAUUUAAGAAGGGGGUUAGACAUUUUCAACGAAAUCCAUUUGAUGUUUUAAAAAAUCCUGCUUCUAAGAGCUUUAAAGUAUUGUUAUAUAUAGGUAUCUUGAUUAGGUGGAUUCUUGCUGACAAUUACAGUACAGAUGCCGGCGCUAAGAGCGGGGAACUCCAGGUGUGUGCAAUGUUAAGAAUUCUUUGUUAAUUAAAUUUGUUUCUGUCUGCUGUCUAUUGCACACCUAGCUAGAGGGAUUUUGGGGAAACAUGUAUGAACUUACAGUUAAAAUCUGGAAGAAAGAGUUCAAAGACAGAGCACAUCAUAUUGUGGUGGUUUGAACAUCUUUCAACUCCCUCCCUGUUAUGCAACUGAAGGAUACAGUGGAGCUGCAACCUAACCCCAAACCCUUCUUCCCCAGACAGAGGAUUUUUUCAUAAAAUCCACUCAGGCCCUUCUUCUCAUGUUCUCCAUACACUUCUCACCAGAAAAAAGAAAUCAUUCAUAUCUAACAAAGGGUCUUGGAUUCUUCAGAUAGUUUCCAUUAUAAGUUUUUGGCACCGUUAUUACUCUCAGCUCAAGUUACCUUUCUGAUCCCUCUUCUUUCAUCUGCUGAAAAUGGAUUAUUUCCUUAUUAGCUCGAAACCCUUACUGUUCACUGGAAGCAGGCCUGUGUACGAACAAUGCUACCCCUGGCAUAUUCCUGAAGUUCCCCGGUUGUUCAGAAACUUGCCCUUAAAGCAAGCUUUCCUGAGAGUGGAAUGACAGUGUCUUUUCAGGAAAGGGCUGCUAUGACCAGAAAACUUUCUAGACCCUUGCCUUGAGAAAGUUGAGCACUGCCAACAAGUGCUGGAAACCAUAACAAAGUGUUUUCUGUGAAGGAGAUGUCUUAUGGGUUGGCUCCAUUUGGGGUUCAUGGGUCUAAGAGGCACAAUGAGGAGACUUGGGAGUCCUUCCUACACAGCUUCAGCCAGAGAUUUUCUGCUUUGAACUAUUUCAUCAUGGAAAUUCGACUUCUUGGUUCAUUUGGAAAAAAAAGAUCUACUUCCUAAAUAUUUUAGAAAUCACUUUAUAGACUAUCUCAAAUUUGAAAUAUUUUCUGAGGUUCUUUACCAGGGUUCAUGGAUAUUAUUCAAGGAUAUUUGAAUUUAGAUGAGAAAAUAAAUUAUGCCUUUAUGUUCACUAAUCUCUAAAAGAAAUUUAUCAUGUCUACUAAUUAUGAUGGAGAGCAAUAAUAUUAGCAAUGGAGAGUCACAGUAAUAUUAGCAAAAACCAGGACUUUGUCAUCACUAGAAAUCACAGAUAUCUUCAUAUCACAUUGCAGUCGUUGAAGAUGUCUUGAAACAUUAUUUACAUUUACCACUAUCUUGAAAUUCUGGUAAAUAUUAAUCCCCCUAAUAGAGCUUGCUUUGUGAUGCAUGAAUACAGAAGCACUAUUCUUGCUAUAGCACACUAUUUGAAAUAUUUUGAUACAUGGAUUUGGUAGCUAUCUAUUUGAUAAUGUGUAUAUAUUUGAUCACAACAUACAUAGUAACUUUAGUUGCUCAAUGCACUUUCUUCUUUUAUGUAUUUAAAAUACUACUCUGAAAAGAGGUCCAUGAUUCACCAGACUGUUAAAUGGGUCCAUAGCAUAAAGAAGUUCAGAACCCCUGAAAGCAACUCAGGGUCUGCAUUUUGUGGUUGUAGUAGCUAAUGAGUUGUGAGAAGUAAAAAGAGCCCUUGACUUGAAAUCAAGAGGUCUGUGUUUGAGUCUCAGCUUUGCCACUUAACAGCUAAAGAGCAAGUCAUGGGCUGCUUUGAGCUCCAGUUUCCUUACUGUUAUAGGGAAAUAGAAACAAUGGCCACCUUGCGGGGUAACUGGCAGGGUGAGAUCAAUGGCUUAGGAUCUCUUUGUCUCUGGUCUUCCUAACUCAAUUUUUAAACAUCGUACACAUGCAUGCAUUUUUCUUUUGAAAUAGAGUCCUGAUGAUAUUAUUCCACCCCUGCCUAUAGGAUAUAGUCCAGCACCUCAGCCCAGCACAAAGUUCUGGAACCUUCUCCAACGGUGCUCCCCACUCAACCACUUCAGCCAUAAGGAGCUUUUUAUCAUUUCCUUAUCACAUCAUCCUUUUCCUUCCCUUAAGAACCUUGUCCAUUCAGUUGCCUGUCCUUGGAAUAACUGUUCCAGCUUUUCCAUUCAGAAAAUGUACACUCAAAUUGUGCCCUUCUCUCUGCAGCUCUUCCCCUGGUUCUCUCAGCAGACUCCCUCUUCCUCAAUGCUCCCAGGGACGUACUCUGCUCCUCUAUUAUAACAUUUGAUACCUGCUUAUAUUAAUUCAUUUUUACCAUGUUUGAUUCUCUCAUUCUCAUUUAUAUUAUGAUUUUUUUCCAAGCUUGGGAUAUGAAGCUGCAUUAGGGAGAAAGCUUGCACAGCUUAAAAAAUACGUUGAUAUUAUCAUCACAUUGAGUGGAUGUUGGUCAUUGUAUUUCUUUUAUUUUGGAAUUCCAGAUACUGUGAAAGGAUUUGAGUUUUUUUUUGCGAAUCCAAAGAUGGCAUUUACAAAAGGUGGAGAAGCAGUUCCCUAUUGAGGGACAUGCAUACAAAAAGCGGAUGACAACACAUCCCAUAGAGUUCCCAGGGAAGAAUGAACCCAGAUUCUUGACCUGCAGAGGUGGUGUACUGCCUGGAGAAGUCACUGGCUGGCAACCGUGCUAUUCUGUCUGUCCACCUAACUAGGCUCCCAGAUCACCACUGCUAUGGGUAGGGGGCUGUAGGGUGGGCCUGCUCGGGCUGACAGGCUAGCUGUGCUCCCAUACCAGAGGUGGGAGAAGGAAAUCACAUCUGGUGUGCAGCUAUGUCGUGCCAGGCACUGUGCUGUGUAUUGCACACAUCUCAAACCUUGUGACAAACGUGUAAGGUAUUUUUUUACAUAUUACAAAUGAAGGAACUGGGCUCAGAAAAGCUGCAUUAUUUGCCCAAAUUGAAGCAGUAAUGCUGAAUCCAGGUUAAUCUAACUCCACAACCCAUGUUCUUUUCACUACAUUCCCAUAUCCUUGUUCCCCCUACUGUCCUCACUGGUCAAGGUGAGCUUGGUCUUCCACAAACAGGCUAGAAAAGUAUGCUUACUUAUCUUUAACUUUAUGCUUUUAAACUAAUUCUUACAAAAUCUUCUCUGGAUAAGUCAAAGACAAUGGGAAUGUGUAUUUCUAAUACAUUAAUUAUACUACAUUAUUGGUUUACACAAUGCCAUCACUUCGUCAUCUUCUUUGACACAACAUCCCCCUCCCCUCUAGUUUAUAAAUGAGGACGUUGAGGCACAAAAUGGUUAAGUGACUUGCCCAAGGGGGAGAUUUGUCCAAUCAUAAAGAUGGGCCUGAACUUUUUCUACUUUGCAUUCUGACUGAAAGGCAGGAAACAUAUGCUCAAGAGGGAGAUCUCACAAAAUUUCAUGUCAGAUUGUGCUCUUGCUAAUUUAAUCCUGUCAUUCCUGGUUAUAUCCCUUUGGAAAAACCACCACCAAUGCUUUCUCUUUUGAUAUAUUUACACUAAAAAUAUUCCCUGUACAAACCACCUCACUCUUUCACAAGGAGCUGACUUGGCCCUCUCCCCUGAAGUGGGUUGCGCAUCCACCCGGCCCACCCCCCGAACUCACUCUAGCUCCCUUCCAGUUCGAAUUUAUUCAGAACCUCCCUUUCUAGGAGGAAGCAAGGUGGGGGCAGUUAUCUUUGUGGACUUGGGUCCUCCUGGACCCUUUGUCCUUGUGGUCAUGUUUCAAACAGAGUUGAGGCUCCCCAAAGGGGAAAGAUUAUUUAAGUUUUGUAAAUGCUGCCCUCCAAAAACCACUCCACAUAAAUGUUUCAUGGCUUAGCCUCUGUGAGGCCAGAGCUGGAACAUUCAGCUGUGAGGGUGUUUAUAUUUGUGGAACUCUCUUGAACAUUUGCUGCGGGUUUUAAACAGCUGCUAUGCUGAAGCUCUGGGGAUAGGAAGAUCAUGAAUAUUCAGGUGAAGCCACCAGAAUGAACAGCCGUUAAUAGAAUAAAUGCCUAAACAGUUGUGUAAGGCUUAUUAAGACCUAUUGGGGCUGAGAUAAUAAAUUCCCACUCUGACAUGUUGCAACUACUGUCGCUUAAACACUUUGGACCACCUCUUCUGAACUGAAGGAAAAAAUGAUGUUAGUUCUCUGCGCGAACACAAAGAAACACCUGGAAGCCUUGGCAAGGGGAUGAGAUUUGGCAGAGAUCUUUCCGUGUACCGAUGCAUCCUCAGGAAAAUGAUGUGCCAUUCAUUGUUCCUGUUGUCAAGGUUAUCGCAAUCAACUCCAGGCUGGAACGGGCAUUGCUCUUGCACUGAAGAAAGUCUGUCCUGACUCCCUCAGAGUGCCUCAACGUCAACUGAGAGCCACCGUGAACCUCUGGGGCACUGAGCCUGGCCACCGGCAUCUGCACCCCAGCCCAUAUGGCCUGGGCCUCUCCCUUGAUGACCCUGCACACCACCUGUGACCUCUCUGAGCCUCAGUUUCCUUGAAGGAAAGGAGGGGCAGCAACACAAACUCUGCUGAGUUGUCGUGAGGAUCAGAAGAGCAAUAUUGGCAAAUGUGUUUCAUAAAUGAUACAGUACCAUAAGUGAAAAAGUCUCCUGCAACUGCUUUUACUGCUUACAAAUUUUAGUAUCAAUGUCAUGUAGAUUAAAAGAAAAAUGGAGCCCUUGUAUUAAAUACUGCAGAGAGCACACAGCCUUUUAGUGCCUUCUAACACUCAUUUCCAGUAAGGGGAUGACUGUAAGCCUUUCUGAAAUGAAACACUCUUCCAUAGCAUUUUAUUUGAACCUAAUUUUACUAUGUGCCUAGUGUGUACAGAGUUCCUCUAUGGGUAAUACAUGACUCACCCCUCAAGCUUUUCCAACAACAGUGAAAAGUCGUAACUAUUUGAUUUCCCCAAUAAGGAAUUAUUAGCAGUAAUAAUCUUAGAGAAUAUUAGGUUAAGCGCUGUGAUCCCAAUUCUCAGGGGAGGCCCAGGCUUGAGUACAGUAAAUAUUUUAUAAUAAUCCCCUGGCUAAACAAAACAGAUGCAGAGUCCUGGGACUCAAGGUCUGGAUUGUAGCUGCCUCAGUGAAUCAAGUCACUCGCCUCUGGCUUGGUCAUUCUAGCUUGGUUGCUACGGAUCUGAACUUCUAAAGCCUGCAAGACAGAAGGCUCUGCAAACUCCCAAAUUCAACAUAUCCCAAAUCAAACAAAGCAUCUAUUUCAUAGACGUGACACCACCAGCUUUCCAGUUUCUAAAAUUCAAGAUUUCAGUGUCACAACUGACACAACCUUCUCACUUAUUAAGGCCCAUCAGGACUGGCCUAUGUCUAGCCAGGCAGAUCACCUAGUCAGCAUUUGCCAUUUGUCAUGUCCUUCCAUUUUUGCACCCACUGUCCCAUUUCAAGGCUUCAUUAUUCUCAGGUGAACCAUGGACGUUUUGCUUGUUUUAAAAAAUCUCAUCUGGAUCUCGUUAUUCUAGCCACCUUUAGUGUAUCCUUUGUACAUCACUCUCCACUCAUGUGCCAUGCUGGGUUUCUAAAGCACAGGUAUGAGCAUCCCACUAGCCUGCUCAUAAGCUAUUCAUGACUCCCUAGUGCCUAUAGGGUAAUGUUUACAAUCCUUGGCCUGGCAUUCUAGGACCUUCAUAAUCUGAUCCCUAUCAAUCAUACCUUGUUCUUUAGCUAUACUCAACUACUUGCUGUUUCCUAGACACGCUUUGCUUUCCUUCCUCUCUUCCUUUGUUCAUGCAGUUUUAUUCACAUGUAAAAUCUCUGUCCAUCUUCAGGGAAGAUGUGAAGAAAGACACUUCCCUCAAAAAUGUCUUUUCCAUAAGAAUCCCUUAGCUGGAGCUAGAUGUCUUUUUAACCUAUAUGCCCACAGAACUUCCUGCAUCUUAUACCAGCCCUUAUUACUCACACUAUAAUAUAAAAUACAAGGGUCACAGGUAGGAGGCAGCACAAAGGAUACUUUCUUGUAAAUGUCACAUCUGAACCCUCCCUUUAAAGAACAUUAUCCCCUAUUAUUCUCUUUCAUAGAAUUUCAUCAUUUCUCUAUAAAACAUUGAACUGUGUUCAUAAUUUAUAUUUGUUCAUACACCCAUUAUUUAAUAUUCGCCUUACCUAUAGCACUGCAAACUCACUUUGGGAAUGGACCGUGCCUGUAUGUUUAUGUCUAUCACCAGGGCUCAGCAAAAGUGCUUGGCUCAUAGCAUAUGUUGAAUAAAUACUAGUUAAGUAAAUAAACAAAGUAUGAAAUGCCUGCAACUCUACCUAGAUUGACAACUUCUUGUAGAUAUCUUUGCACUUCACUGCUCCAUCUAUCCCAGUCCUUUUGCUAGUAGAUGCCCAACCAAUGGUAAUUGAAUUGGAUUUUAACAUUAAGUCUUCAUUUCUUUCUGUUGAGUGAGGAAACUAUUGUGAUCAACUUGUUGCCCUUUGGGUUUGUUCGUGAAAGAAAAGUCAUCAAAAAGUAGGCAAUAAGGUAGUCUUUGCUUGCAUUCUGGCAGACUUAUGCAUGGGAGGUUCCCAACAUGUUUCCCAACAGAAAGCCUUUUCAUGGUAAUGCAGAUCUACAAAGUGGAUGUUAGUUGCAAAAAGAUAAUCAACAAAUCUCUGACAAGAGUCUGUUUAUACUGCUGCUGUCAAGGGUAGUCAUGCUAGUUUAAGAAAGAUAUUUUGCCUUCAUUCUAAGUGUUCACACAUGAAAAUGUUGUCAGGUAUGGAUUCUGGCUGUGAAAUUAACACCUGCAGAAAUUUAUAUAUGUGUUCAUAUUGUGGAUGACCCAUAAUUUUAAUGAGGGCAGAACAUAAUUCAUGUGUGAAUAAAUUGAUCAGACAAAUUGUUCAACCAUUCAUCUAUUUGUUACUAUUUUGUGCUUUAAUCUUUCAUUCAUUCAUCUGCUCACUUGACAAGUACCAGAGUGUUAAUUGUGGGCUUAGUAGAGUGAAAGCUAUAAGCUCACACAAGAGGUACCAGUACCAGCCCUCAGUGAGAGUUUAGUGUGCAUAAAAUGAUCACAGAAGGCUUUAUGGAGAAGUCAAUACAUAAAAAAUAGCUUAUUUCCUUUAAUAAACCAAGGGAAAAAUGGGAUCUUUGUUUAGUUAUUUUAUUUUAUUUUAGAGAAGGAGUCUUACUCUGUUGCCUAGGCUAGAG